Long non-coding RNA from Rhodamnia argentea, 189 nucleotides. RefSeq lists it as uncharacterized. The record is from RefSeq and is a predicted model, not a curated record. Lineage: Eukaryota; Viridiplantae; Streptophyta; Magnoliopsida; Myrtales; Myrtaceae. The transcript is spliced from 3 exons.
GUCAACGUUUUCAAAUCAAACUCAAGGAAGGGGAACAAAGAGAGACCGACGUGUAUGGACAAUAGAUGAAGAAAAUGCACUUCUAGAUGGUCUUGAAGAACUAGUUGCGCGAGGAAUGAAAGCCGAUAACCACUUCAAGAGUGGUUACAUGAUUAUGUUAGAGAAGUGGUUUGAAGAAAAGCUUCCUAG